RNAcentral lists this ribosomal RNA (252 nucleotides) under uncultured bacterium. Its description in RNAcentral is "partial 16S ribosomal RNA". It matches the Rfam family "Bacterial small subunit ribosomal RNA", at positions 524 to 776 of the family's 1533-position model. The record is from RNAcentral.
UACAGAGGUCUCAAGCGUUGUUCGGAUUCAUUGGGCGUAAAGGGUGCGUAGGUGGCGGGGUAAGUCUGGUGUGAAAGCUCCGAGCUCAACUCGGAAAAGCAUUGGAAACUAUUCCGCUAGAGGGUCGGAGGGGAGACUGGAAUUCUCGGUGUAGCAGUGAAAUGCGUAGAUAUCGAGAGGAACACCAGUGGCGAAGGCGAGUCUCGGGACGACUCCUGACACUGAGGCACGAAAGCUAGGGGAGCAAACAGG